GACGAACGCUGGCGGCGUGCUUAACACAUGCAAGUCGAACGGAGCGAAUGAAAGCUUGCUUUUAUAAGCUUAGUGGCAAACGGGUGAGUAACACGUAGGCAACCUGCCGACAGGAUGGGGACAACAUUCCGAAAGGAAUGCUAAUACCGAAUGAAGUCGAGGGAGGGCAUCCUCCUCCGAUGAAAGAUGGCCUCUAUAUAUAAGCUAUCACCUGUCGAUGGGCCUGCGUCUGAUUAGCUGGUAGGUGAGGUAACGGCUCACCUAGGCGACGAUCAGUAGCCGGUCUGAGAGGAUGAACGGCCACAUUGGGACUGAGACACGGCCCAGACUCCUACGGGAGGCAGCAGUGGGGAAUCUUCCGCAAUGGGCGCAAGCCUGACGGAGCAACGCCGCGUGAGUGAAGAAGGUCUUCGGAUCGUAAAGCUCUGUUGAUGGGGACGAACGUGCCUAAUGCGAAUAGUAUUAGGUAAAG
This 472-nucleotide ribosomal RNA is filed under the name Centipeda noxia. Its description in RNAcentral is "bacterial SSU rRNA". It matches the Rfam family "Bacterial small subunit ribosomal RNA", at positions 28 to 471 of the family's 1533-position model. Lineage: Bacteria; Bacillati; Bacillota; Negativicutes; Selenomonadales; Selenomonadaceae. The record is from RNAcentral.